This 62-nucleotide microRNA precursor is filed under the name Sarcophilus harrisii (Tasmanian devil). Its description in RNAcentral is "Sha-Mir-17-P4d_pre stem-loop". It matches the Rfam family "mir-17 microRNA precursor family", at positions 11 to 80 of the family's 80-position model. From Rfam's summary of the family: This family represents the microRNA (miRNA) precursor mir-17, family, which includes mir-20, mir-91, and mir-103. miRNAs are transcribed as ~70nt precursors (modelled here) and subsequently processed by the Dicer enzyme to give a ~22nt product. The record is from RNAcentral. Lineage: Eukaryota; Metazoa; Chordata; Mammalia; Dasyuromorphia; Dasyuridae.
CAAAGUGCUGUUCGUGCAGGUAGUGUAAUAACCCAACCUACUGCUGAGCUAGCACUUCUCGA